Molecule: ribosomal RNA, 523 nt
Filed under: uncultured bacterium
Lineage: Bacteria
Description: bacterial SSU rRNA
Rfam family: Bacterial small subunit ribosomal RNA
Source: RNAcentral
UGGGGAAUAUUGGACAAUGGACCACAAGUCUGAUCCAGCAAUUCUGUGUGCACGAUGACGUUUUUCGGAAUGUAAAGUGCUUUCAGUCGGGAAGAAGUCAGUGACGGUACCGACAGAAGAAGCGACGGCUAAAUACGUGCCAGCAGCCGCGGUAAUACGUAUGUCGCAAGCGUUAUCCGGAUUUAUUGGGCGUAAAGCGCGUCUAGGCGGCAAGGAAAGUCUGAUGUGAAAAUGCGGAGCUCAACUCCGUAUGGCGUUGGAAACUGCCUUACUAGAGUACUGGAGAGGUAGGCGGAACUACAAGUGUAGAGGUGAAAUUCGUAGAUAUUUGUAGGAAUGCCGAUGGGGAAGCCAGCCUACUGGACAGAUACUGACGCUAAAGCGCGAAAGCGUGGGUAGCAAACAGGAUUAGAUACCCUGGUAGUCCACGCUGUAAACGAUGAUUACUAGGUGUUGGGGGUCAAACCUCAGCGCCCAAGCUAACGCGAUAAGUAAUCCGCCUGGGGAGUACGUACGCAAGGUU